UAUCAUGCAGUCGAGGGGCAGCACAGGUAGCAAUACUGGGUGGCGACCGGCAAACGGGUGCGGAACACGUACGUAACCUUCCUUUAAGUGGGAGAUAGCCCGAAGAAAUUCGGAUUAAUACCCCAUAAGAUUGUGGAAUGGCAUCAUUCAGCAAUUAAAGAAAUUCGCUUAAAGAUGGGCGUGCGGCUGAUUAGGUAGUUGGUGAGGUAACGGCUCACCAAGCCAACGAUCAGUAACUGGCGUGAGAGCGCGACCAGUCACACGGGCACUGAGACACGGGCCCGACUCCUACGGGAGGCAGCAGUAAGGAAUAUUGGUCAAUGGACGCAAGUCUGAACCAGCCAUGCCGCGUGAAGGAUGAAGGUCCUCUGGAUUGUAAACUUCUUUUAUAUGGGAAGAAACCACUUUUUUCUAAAGGUGUUGACGGUACCAUAGGAAUAAGCACCGGCUAACUCCGUGCCAGCAGCCGCGGUAAUACGGAGGGUGCAAGCGUUAUCCGGAUUCACUGGGUUUAAAGGGUGCGUAGGCGGAUUAGUAAGUCCGUGGUGAAAUCUCCGAGCUUAACUCGGAAACUGCCGUGGAUACUAUUAAUCUUGAAUACUGUGGAGGUUAGCGGAAUAUGUCAUGUAGCGGUGAAAUGCAUAGAUAUGACAUAGAACACCAAUUGCGAAGGCAGCUGGCUACACAGAGAUUGACGCUGAGGCACGAAAGCGUGGGGAUCAAACAGGAUUAGAUACCCUGGUAGUCCACGCCCUAAACGAUGAUUACUCGACAUUUGCGAUAUACAGUAAGUGUCUGAGCGAAAGCAUUAAGUAAUCCACCUGGGAAGUACGACCGCAAGGUUGAAACU
RNAcentral lists this ribosomal RNA (850 nucleotides) under uncultured bacterium. Its description in RNAcentral is "bacterial SSU rRNA". It matches the Rfam family "Bacterial small subunit ribosomal RNA", at positions 51 to 901 of the family's 1533-position model. The record is from RNAcentral.